CCGGUUUCGCGCACUGCGCGGCUAGGGGAGCGCCCCGCCCCGGCCCGGAAACCGCCGGGAAGGGGACCCCGGAGCCCACCGCUCUGGGUUCCCCGUUCGUGCAGCAGUGGCCACGUACCUCGUCCCUUCCGCACCCCUGCUGGAUCUGGAAGGAAGCAGGAUAAGUUAAUGAGAUGUCCACCAGAGGGCCUGGCGUGGACACAGCACAUGGCCACAGAGGCUGGUGGGUGCUAUGGAAUCUUGUCCCCUGGAGAGGCACACAGCCAGGGCAGAACAUCAAGGUCAAGGCUCUCCUGAAGGCUCUGCAGUGCUUAGUGACACCACCAUCAAUGACCGUCAGGUAUCAGGAAACCAUUUGGCACCUCCUCUGGAAUGAAGGCGUGGCCGGGCACUUGAGAUCUGGCUGUUGAGGCAGAGGUAGUGCACGUGACCCACGCGGUGAGGUCUGCUCCCCGCUGCUGCAGCCAUCUGCGGUGGAGACCGUGAGUGUACACAGACAGUGCCAUCUGAAGGGAACUCCACUGCCUCUAUGUGCUACUUAAGCAGGGGCGACUGAGCCGGAGACUGCAGAAAUGUGUCCGUCCCCACGGACAGCCUGGCUUAGCUGUCCGUGGCUGUCUCCUGCCGUGGAGGAGCACACUGGAGUGGCCCGUGCAGUGGACCAGAGCUUCCACCCACACUGUGUUCUGUCUCCUUUCCUAGAACACAACUGGACGUUUCCCACCUCCGUGCAAAAUGAGUGGACAUAAGGGGUGCCACUUCCACACCUGGCUCAUGGAAGCUCCCAGAUGGUCUCAGCCCUCCAUGCUCCCCGCUACUUCAGGCUGGAUGGAGACGGACGGCUCAGGUUGCUCUCUCUGAUGCCUGCAUAAGGGCUGCCCUGCCAGCCCAUUCCCCUGCCCAAUAUUAUGGAAGCAAAAACGUUCUAUGGUGUUUGAGCCAUUGUUGUUUUUCGGGUAUAUUUAUUACAGAACUAGCGUAGCCCUAAUACAGUCAUUGCUACGUGGCCAUAAUACAUGUAUUCUAUAAUUGCGCCUAAUUUUAUU
This 1046-nucleotide long non-coding RNA is filed under the name Pan troglodytes (chimpanzee). RNAcentral's name for it is "lincRNA". Lineage: Eukaryota; Metazoa; Chordata; Mammalia; Primates; Hominidae. The record is from RNAcentral.